Molecule: non-coding RNA, 30 nt
Filed under: Homo sapiens (human)
Lineage: Eukaryota; Metazoa; Chordata; Mammalia; Primates; Hominidae
Source: RNAcentral
CCCCCAAGGAAGAGUCAGUUCAGAAGCACA